This 468-nucleotide ribosomal RNA is filed under the name uncultured bacterium. Its description in RNAcentral is "partial 16S ribosomal RNA". It matches the Rfam family "Bacterial small subunit ribosomal RNA", at positions 28 to 507 of the family's 1533-position model. The record is from RNAcentral.
GACGAACGCUGGCGGCGUGCUUAACACAUGCAAGUCGAACGGAAAGGCCCUGCUUUUGUGGGGUGCUCGAGUGGCGAACGGGUGAGUAACACGUGAGUAACCUGCCCUUGACUUUGGGAUAACUUCAGGAAACUGGGGCUAAUACCGGAUAGGAGCUCCUGCUGCAUGGUGGGGGUUGGAAAGUUUCGGCGGUUGGGGAUGGACUCGCGGCUUAUCAGCUUGUUGGUGGGGUAGUGGCUUACCAAGGCUUUGACGGGUAGCCGGCCUGAGAGGGUGACCGGCCACAUUGGGACUGAGAUACGGCCCAGACUCCUACGGGGGGCAGCAGUGGGGAGUAUUGCACAAUGGGCGGAAGCCUGAGGCAGCAACGCCGCGUGCGGGAUGACGGCCUUCGGGUUGUAAACCGCUUUCGCCUGUGACGAAGCGUGAGUGACGGUAAUGGGUAAAGAAGCACCGGCUAACUACGUG